Molecule: ribosomal RNA, 300 nt
Filed under: uncultured Neomoorella sp.
Lineage: Bacteria; Bacillati; Bacillota; Clostridia; Neomoorellales; Neomoorellaceae
Description: uncultured Moorella sp. partial 16S ribosomal RNA
Rfam family: Bacterial small subunit ribosomal RNA (bases 54-300)
Source: RNAcentral
CCAAGGUCUGGGGACGGUGCGCGGUAGGACGUGGGGGGGGAGCGUUGGCGUGGUUCAUUGGGCGGCGAGGGCUGGGGGGCGGGUCAGUAAGUCAGGUGUGAAAUCUCCGCGCUCAACGCGGGGCGGCCACCGGAUACUGCGGUGACUCGAGUCCGGUAGGGGGGUGUGGAAUUCCCGGUGUAGCGGUGAAAUGCGCAGAUAUCGGGAGGAACACCAGUAGCGAAGGCGGCACUCUGGGCCGUGACUGACGCUGAGGAGCGAAAGCGUGGGUAGCAAACAGGAUUAGAUACCCCGGUAGUC